UGACAACUUCAAUAAACCUGCUGUUUGCAAGAAACCCCUUAACAACUAUUUGUGAAGGAGCAUGGGCCUCGUGGUUCAGACGUUGGGCAUACAACCAUUAGAUUGAGGGUUUGAUUCGUUGUACAGGCGACACAUUGUGCCCUUGAAUAAAGCACUUCAUUUCACAUUGCCCCAGUCCCCUCAGAUGUAAAUAGGGACCAACCUAGUACUGCUGCUUCUCUCUCUGGCUGUCACAUCCUUGGUGUUCCUCUAUUGGGCAAAGGGCAGGAGAGCUGAGAGGGGAUCUGCAUCUGCUCCCGACUACAUAGGGGCCGAAAACAAUUAGUAUAAACAUGGUACAUAUUACCAGUUCAUACUCAUUUGCAAGAAAUCGUGGGGAACUAAAGCCCCACCUCCUCACCCCUUUUUUUUUAAAAAACAGUAUUUUCCUUCUCAAUUCUCCUUCACCCAGGAUGGGAAAUGAUAACAAAUGGUGUAUUUCACUCUGUCCAAUCAGCCCCAGAAGUAAAUUCACUGAUUCAAUGUGUACUUGUGUAAUCCUACAUGGAUUAGCAUAAUCCUACAUGGAUUAGUGUAAUCCUGCAUGGAUUAAUGCAAGCUUAUGCAGACUUGAGUAAUCCUAGAUGGAUUUGUGUAAUCUUACACGGAUUUUGCAUACCGUAAGGCAGCAAGCAGGCCAAAUCCUAAGUGUGUCUGAUGAAAUGCCAAAUGGCUUUCAGCUCUUAUAUCGGUCUGAGAGUGACUUUGCCUUCCGUCCUUUCGAGGUUAGUCAGAUAAAGUACCAGUUGUGUACUGGGGUUAAUGUGAUCAGCCCCCCCCCCCCACCUACUUGGGAUGCUAAAGGAACAAGUGUGGCAGUGGGGAUUUUCUGUUGUUUCAUGAAGAUUCAGUUGUUUGGUUUACCUGAAUUACCUGACCCUGAAUUAAUAUGUACGUGGGUGAGUAUCCCUCAGCAGUCGUAGGUAAACUGUGAGCCACGUGACUUUCUGAAUGGCAAACUCACGAAAUCACUUUGGAUUUUGCUUUAGUUGUGCAACUUGCCCUGGUAUUGAACCAGGUCCCAUGCCAUCUGCUUCUCCAAAAAAAAAAAAAACAAAGUUGCUUAUUGCCUGCCUUAG
This is a long non-coding RNA of Octopus sinensis (East Asian common octopus), 1118 nucleotides long. RefSeq lists it as uncharacterized. Lineage: Eukaryota; Metazoa; Mollusca; Cephalopoda; Octopoda; Octopodidae. The transcript has 2 exons. The record is from RefSeq and is a predicted model, not a curated record.